AAAGAAAGCCAUUUGGCACAAGCACUUAGUUGAGUCCAGACUUGCCCUGUCAUAUGGCCCUCUUCAGGCAUGCAGAAGAGAACCAUUGUGCUGACAAAGGAUCAACUCAUUGAGAAUUCAAGAGAUGUUAACCUGACUAGUAGCUGAGGGAUCCCUUUUCAGAGCAUGUUCGGAGAAAGGUCCAUAUUGAGCAUUGUGAAGUCCAGCAACUAUGAAAGGCCUCCCUAUACCAGCUCUGCCUCAGCCGUAAGCAUUCUAUGAUUGCAACUGGAGAUUGGACAGGAAAUGGUACCCAGAAGUUUGAAUAUCUUAAAAAUGGUUUGGAAAAAUGGUACUGGGAACUUCCGAACACCAAAAACAACUAAUUGAAUUUUGGCUAGAAUCUCAUUUGUGGCCAUUGUUUUAUUUGUUUAUUUAUAUUUGGA
Vitis riparia (riverbank grape) is the source of this 425-nucleotide long non-coding RNA. RefSeq lists it as uncharacterized. The record is from RefSeq and is a predicted model, not a curated record. The transcript is spliced from 3 exons. Lineage: Eukaryota; Viridiplantae; Streptophyta; Magnoliopsida; Vitales; Vitaceae.